AGUGAACGCUGGCGGUAGGCCUAACACAUGCAAGUCGAACGGCAGCACAGUAAGAGCUUGCUCUUACGGGUGGCGAGUGGCGGACGGGUGAGGAAUACAUCGGAAUCUACUUUGUCGUGGGGGAUAACGUAGGGAAACUUACGCUAAUACCGCAUACGACCUACGGGUGAAAGCAGGGGAUCUUCGGACCUUGCGCGAUUGAAUGAGCCGGUGUCGGAUUAGCUAGUUGGCGGGGUAAAGGCCCACCAAGGCGACGAUCCGUAGCUGGUCUGAGAGGAUGAUCAGCCACACUGGCACUGAGACACGGUCCAGACUCCUACGGGAGGCAGCAGUGGGGAAUAUUGGACAAUGGGCGCAAGCCUGAUCCAGCCAUACCGCGUGGGUGAAGAAGGUCUUCGGGUUGUAAAGCCCUUUUGUUGGGAAAGAAAAGCAGCAGGUUAAUACCCCGCUGUUCUGACGGUACCCAAAGAAUAAGCACCGGCUAACUUCGUG
RNAcentral lists this ribosomal RNA (492 nucleotides) under uncultured bacterium. Its description in RNAcentral is "partial 16S ribosomal RNA". It matches the Rfam family "Bacterial small subunit ribosomal RNA", at positions 29 to 507 of the family's 1533-position model. The record is from RNAcentral.